UGGCCAGCGUCCGGCAGGGGCGCGGCGCCGGUUACCGGCUGGCGGGGGAGUACGGCCGGCGGUUCGAGCGCGUCCGGGCCGGC
RNAcentral lists this transfer RNA (83 nucleotides) under Dactylosporangium sucinum. Its description in RNAcentral is "tRNA-Gly". Lineage: Bacteria; Bacillati; Actinomycetota; Actinomycetes; Micromonosporales; Micromonosporaceae. The record is from RNAcentral.